This 1159-nucleotide long non-coding RNA is filed under the name Carica papaya (papaya). Its description in RNAcentral is "long non-coding RNA (CPAP_LNC008066)". Lineage: Eukaryota; Viridiplantae; Streptophyta; Magnoliopsida; Brassicales; Caricaceae. The record is from RNAcentral.
UUUGAAUUAAAACUUAGAGUAAUAACAUGAGAAUAGAGCAUUUAUAGGAUCUUUUAAAAAUAACUUUAACCAUGCAGGAUGAAGAUAAUGCUUACAAAGAAUAGUAGCAAGAAAUACUUCUGUUUGCUUCAAUCAUGAUUGAUCUAGCUCGAAAACGGAUGAAUGCAAUCAAAUAUGUCAAGAUUACUUAAAAAUCGUGACAACUAGUCUUAUUUAUCGGUAAACUUCAAUCUUCUUUUAGAUUUGCAAAAAACAAUAUGAUAAGACAGAGAGAUAAUCAUAAAAAAAAUUCGAAUUAUAAUUCGUGAUAUUAACUUAAUAAGAUUCCAUUAUAAUACAACUUUGUACCAAGAUAAAGUGAUAGUAUCAUAUAUUUGGAGCAUUGAUCGAGGAAAACAAGCAAAGUCAGAACAAGUAAUUACCUCCAAUUCACUAGUUGUUGAAUACGAAGCACUCCUACUUUGUCUACAAAAAAAGCCUCCGAAAAGGGACAAGAGAACAUUGUUAUAUUCCCAACUCAGGCUGUAAAGGCCAUCCAUCAUCUAUGAAGAAAAAGAAGCUUAACUGGUGCAUUAAAAAAAUAUGCAAGAAAGUUAAGAGUUUCCAAAAAGCAUUUCACAAUUGGUAAAACAAUCAAUUGGACCCUUAAAAGCUAGCUAACAAGGAGGAAUCCCAUAAAUUAGCAAAAUGUGCUUGCAGUUUCGAAUAUCUUGCACACCCAAAUUAAUUUUGUACUUCAGCUAAAUGAAUUACCUUUAUUUAACAAAAAAAGAAGAAGACAAAAGUCGAUAAAGUGGAUCUUGGACCACAACUAAAUCAUGGCGACGGCCACUUUGAUGUCUCAAAAGCUAUUCACCAACCACAAUUCAUUCACUAAUAUUUUCUAACAUUAGAUACCUGCUAAAAUUUAAGUUUCCUACUUUACCCUUCUGCCUCAAAAGCUAGCCCUCUUUAAUGACUUUAUUGUCACAGUUGAUCCCAGCGGCGCCGUCGCCACGUCGAUCUCAAACGAGUCGGAUCGGGAGAAACAGUUCGAUUACAAAAAGCCUUGCCGCCAGCACCACGAAAUCCUUCCCUGCGCACUGCUUAUUGCCGACAGUCGGUGUCUCCGUCUCGGGACCAUUAGACCACAGCACGUGCUUCAGCAGCUUCUCNNNNN